Molecule: ribosomal RNA, 407 nt
Filed under: uncultured bacterium
Lineage: Bacteria
Description: bacterial SSU rRNA
Rfam family: Bacterial small subunit ribosomal RNA
Source: RNAcentral
GGUUAAUACCCUGUGUAGAUGACGGUACCCGAAUAAGAAGCACCGGCUAACUACGUGCCAGCAGCCGCGGUAAUACGUAGGGUGCGAGCGUUAAUCGGAAUUACUGGGCGUAAAGCGUGCGCAGGCGGUUUUGUAAGUCAGAUGUGAAAUCCCCGGGCUCAACCUGGGAACUGCAUUUGAGACUGCAAGACUGGAGUUUGGCAGAGGGGGGUGGAAUUCCACGUGUAGCAGUGAAAUGCGCAGAGAUGUGGGGGAACACCGAUGGCGAAGGCAGCCCCCUGGGCCAAUACUGACGCUCAUGCACGAAAGCGUGGGGAGCAAACAGGAUUAGAUACCCUGGUAGUCCACGCCCUAAACGAUGUCAACUAGGUGUUGGGAGGGUUAAACCUUUUAGUGCCGUAGCUAAC